Molecule: transfer RNA, 105 nt
Filed under: Rattus norvegicus (Norway rat)
Lineage: Eukaryota; Metazoa; Chordata; Mammalia; Rodentia; Muridae
Rfam family: tRNA
About the family: Transfer RNA (tRNA) molecules are approximately 80 nucleotides in length. Their secondary structure includes four short double-helical elements and three loops (D, anti-codon, and T loops).
Source: Rfam by way of RNAcentral
GUCAGGAUGGCCGAGUGGUCUAAGGCGCCAGACUCAAGCUUCGCUUCCCUAUCUGGGGAUUCUGGUCUCCGUAUGGAGGCGUGGGUUCGAAUCCCACUUCUGACA